This 107-nucleotide small nucleolar RNA is filed under the name Oryza punctata. RNAcentral describes it as "Plant small nucleolar RNA R71". It matches the Rfam family "Plant small nucleolar RNA R71". Rfam says of the family: R71 is a member of the C/D box family of snoRNAs containing the C (UGAUGA) and D (CUGA) box motifs. Lineage: Eukaryota; Viridiplantae; Streptophyta; Magnoliopsida; Poales; Poaceae. The record is from Rfam by way of RNAcentral.
GUCCCAUGCUGAGGAUAAUCGAGGAUGUACUCUUGAACCCUGUCCCAUGCCUCCCAAAUUGACUCAUACGAUAUUUGCUGGAAGCCUAAAACUUUUUCGUGAAGGGC